RNAcentral lists this ribosomal RNA (465 nucleotides) under uncultured bacterium. Its description in RNAcentral is "partial 16S ribosomal RNA". It matches the Rfam family "Bacterial small subunit ribosomal RNA", at positions 28 to 507 of the family's 1533-position model. The record is from RNAcentral.
GACGAACGCUGGCGGCGUGCUUAACACAUGCAAGUCGAACGGAAAGGCCCUGCUUGCAGGGUACUCGAGUGGCGAACGGGUGAGUAACACGUGGGUGAUCUGCCCUGCACUUCGGGAUAAGCCUGGGAAACUGGGUCUAAUACCGGAUAGGAGCCAUUUUUAGUGUGAUGGUUGGAAAGUUUUUUCGGUGUAGGAUGAGCUCGCGGCCUAUCAGCUUGUUGGUGGGGUAAUGGCCUACCAAGGCGGCGACGGGUAGCCGGCCUGAGAGGGUGGACGGCCACAUUGGGACUGAGAUACGGCCCAGACUCCUACGGGAGGCAGCAGUGGGGAAUAUUGCACAAUGGGCGCAAGCCUGAUGCAGCGACGCCGCGUGGGGGAGGACGGCCUUCGGGUUGUAAACUCCUUUCGCUAGGGACGAAGCUUUUUGUGACGGUACCUAGAUAAGAAGCACCGGCUAACUACGUG